CCUACGGGAGGCACCAGUGGGGAAUAUUGCACAAUGGGCGCAAGCCUGAUGCAGCCAUGCCGCGUGUGUGAAGAAGGCCUUCGGGUUGUAAAGCACUUUCAGCGGGGAGGAAGGCGAUAAGGUUAAUAACCUUGUCGAUUGACGUUACCCGCAGAAGAUGCACCGGCUAACUCCGUGCCAGCAGCCGCGGUAAUACGGAGGGUGCAAGCGUUAAUCGGAAUUACUGGGCGUAAAGCGCACGCAGGCGGUCUGUCAAGUCGGAUGUGAAAUCCCCGGGCUCAACCUGGGAACUGCAUUCGAAACUGGCGGGCUAGAGUCUUGUAGAGGGAGGUAGAAUUCCAGGUGUAGCGGUGAAAUGCGUAGAGAUCUGGAGGAAUACCGGUGGCGAAGGCGGCCCCCUGGACAAAGACUGACGCUCAGGUGCGAAAGCGUGGGGAGCAAACAGGAUUAGAUACCCCGGUAGUC
This 465-nucleotide ribosomal RNA is filed under the name uncultured bacterium. Its description in RNAcentral is "bacterial SSU rRNA". It matches the Rfam family "Bacterial small subunit ribosomal RNA", at positions 338 to 795 of the family's 1533-position model. The record is from RNAcentral.